AGAGGUUUUCUCGCUUGGAGGAGGGGGCAUCUCCCUGCUAGGGCCAAGCAGGGUGGGACAGGCCCCACCACAAACAGCAAGGACCAGGCAGUGCAUGGGGCAGGCCCUAGGGGCUGCUCUGGAACCCCGGCCAGCUCCUUCCUAAGGCCUGGCUCUUUGGGCAAUGAACUUGUAUCGAGACUGCACAGAACCAUGGACCACAAAGCCUAAAAUAUUUACUGCCUGACCCUGUACACAAAGUUUGCUGGCCCCUGUUUGAGAGGUAGGCAAAAGGCGCGGGUGUGCCUGACCUGGGCUGGGGUGUGAGUGUGUGUGCGUGAGCGGUGACGCUUUUGUGAGGAAACGCAGAACUGGAGAAGGACAGAUUCAAGGCAAGGGCUCAGCUCAUUUCUCAGGCUGCAAAUACUUGCCAGCCCAAUUCCAGAAGCGGUUCAGAAACGAUGUGCCCGGACCCCUACCCUCGGCCUGCUAACAAUCCUGCUCAGCUUGGGCUUCUGGGGCGAACUGUAGGGCACACGCAGCACCAGAUCUUUGGGCCUAGAGGCAACAGAGUCCUGUCCAGGCCUCGGCAGGCCCUAUCAUUUCAAAAGCCCAAAAAGGAACAUGGGGUCUGGCAGCUGGGCAACAUGCUUGAAGCUGGAACCAUCCUGGGAAACCCAUCUUUCUGACUGUGGGUAAGAACAGUGAGACGCCACGCAGGUUCAGGCAUUCCAACGUUGUCACAUGGGGCCAUAAACACAACAGGGGCUCCCUGUGCCCCAGGAGAUCUCGCCACGUGUGCCACGGCUGUCCACCUGUGUAACUGACUUAGAAGCUUGGGACUUCCGGGGGUGCUGGAAGGCUGUCCCCAGAGGCUGAGGAGAGAAAGGUCUCCGACUGUCCCUUUCUGAGCAGCUUCUAAUUCAGGGGACCCUCAUUCCUUGCUACUAUCAGCACCUUCGAGCGGGGUUCCUCAAAGGGGGAGCCUGUCCUCAUGUCCCUCGCCCUGGUCCAGGUCUUCCAUCCCUGGAACGACAGAGCCGACGACAUCUCUGGAAGAAGCGCCCCUUAAUAUCUUCCUUGGGAAAGAAGACGGCUCCCUUCAAGUUCGGGUCAUGCUUUUCACACGUUGAAGGUGGGUCAUUAGGAGCAAAUGCCACUGUUUCCCGCUCACUGCUGGAAGCACACAGGGUCCCUUCGGGGUGAUCGUGGGGGUGCAUCGUGAGAGGGCAUGAGAGCAAGCCCCGGAAAUGCCUUUAAGAAGACCCGGCCCAGGUGCGGCCAGGGGCCCUCCGUUUGAUUAUUACCCUGAUGCCAGCAGGAACAGUAGACCUGGGUUAGUGUCCUGAACUCUACACAGACCGAGUAUGUUCUCAGUUGACUAGUCUCCCAACCUCAGCCACAGCUGUACAUCCAGAAGUCCGCUGGCUUAUGCGGACUUACGGCUAAGAUCUGGGGAGGUAAGGGGAUGGUUCCAGAGCAGCCGCAUCUUGAGGCUCAGCAUCUAGGUCAAUGCUGUGUAGCUCGGGCUCUUGAUUGGUUGUCCCUCAGUGUUCCCAUCUGUAAAAUGGAAUGAUUUGUGGAGACUUACCUCAUCAUGAGGUUCUGAAGAACUACUGUACCAGAGAGAAGGCCCUCUGGUGAUUUCACUGUGCAUCUUCCUAAGGAAUUGGCUCAGGGUGCUUUAGCAGAGUGUAUGUGUGUGGGAAUCAAUUAGAACUCUUUCAGCUUUAAGUAAAAUGUAACUCACCACAAAUUGCUUAAGCAAAAAGAAUCUAUUUAUCUGGUUGGUUGGUUUACAUAAAGAAAAAGUUAAGGGGCUUCAGGCACAGCUUAGUCCAGGGGCUCAAAAAUGUCAUCUGGACCAGGCCAUUCUUCAUUUCUGCUUUCUUUAGCAUUGAUGCUAUUCUUAGACUGUGAUGGCAGGAUAGAUGCAAGCAGCUCCAAGAUGACCCCCUCACAUAUCUAAGUCCAGAAGAAAGGACAACAUCUUUUUCUGGGCUACUUAAAUACUUGGUAUUGACUCCAAAUGGACCUUGUGGCUUGGCUUGCAUCACGCGCUCAUCCCUAAACCAUUACGCAGCUUGGAACGGUGCACAAGGCCCAUGCUACUCUGAUUGGUCAGGCCUGGUUCACAAGUGACGCUCAAGACAGGGAAUUAACUCCACCUGAAGUACACAAGCGGAACAUAAGAAGAGGAGUGGAUUCUCCAGAGAAAGUUGGACGGCUUUGACCAGAAGAUGAGGGACAAAUACGAAGCAGGGAAACCACAACAGUUCUAAAACAGGAAGUAAAUGUGUAUGGGCAGGAAUCCUUGGACCUGGAUCUGUACAAGGCAUCAGUGGACUGAUGCACAGCUUUGGGAUCCAGUGAGAAUACGAGGUAACAUCCACCUCUAGGAAAACAUUGGAUUGCCUCAGAAAUCCCCAAAUAUUGCUCACUGCCCUGGGACCUGGGACCUCAUAGUUAAGCAGAAUAUGAUCCGGGCAUCCUGACAUCCACAGGAGUUACCAGCCCCUGCCUAGAACAAGGAUCACCUGGCCCAUGCCUCCUUACUCUGAUUGUACUGUACUCUCCUUGAGGGCAGGACCACAACUCCCUUCCCUCUGCACCUGCAGAAAUAUUUUUGGAAUGAAUACUAAUCUUUAGCAGAGCUUGAUACCUUUUCAAACCUCUUUAACAUCUACUGUCGUAUAUGAUUCUUUGUUCUUCUUUUUGGCUACCCAGGAUCUGAACCCUCUUCCUGUGAGAGGGAAUUCCCCUUAUUCUCAGGCGGAGCCCACUUCCCACCAGAGAGGCUGAAAGUAGCACGUGCGUGUGUUUCCCAGCCUCCCUGUGGCUGGGCAAGGGCACAUGACCUAGGCUCUGACCAUCAGACACAUGGGCAUCAGACACAUGGGCUCCAGACUGUGACCCAGGAGCUAGUGGCCCAAAGAAGCAUUUGGUGGUUAUCAGGGGUGCAGCUAGCCAGUGUUCCUAGGGCAGUGGGGAUGGUGACUCCUGAGGGCGUGAACAGGAUGCUGCAGCCCAGCCUACCUGGCCCAGUACAGUGGUGACAGUGACGACAGCAAGAUCCCAACUGAGUACUGCAGUGUGACCUGGGGCCUUGUUCAAAGCCGUGUAGUCUAUGGGGCUGCUUCUCUGCUCUGCCGAGAGAUUCUCUGAAAUGCUCAAUAUCCUUAUUAUUUUGGGGCUUAAAUCAAUUUAGCUUAAGUCAACUGAGUCAAUCUGCUUAAGAAUCGAUUUCUGUUGCUUGCAGCUAGAAACUCUGUUAUAAUCCUUGAGACAACUGCAUAAUUCCCCUUUUCCAGGUGAAUAAAUUGAGGCUUAGAGCCCGGCCUCAGCCCAUGCAAUGGGACCGUUUCUGCAUUGAGACCAGAACCCUGGACUUAGUGAAGCAGACCUACAACUGCAGGUGGGAGCCCAGGCGAGGAAGAAGUUUCUCAUAAGUAGAGCUGCCUCAUCUGGUAGGAAGCCCCCUGUUGCUGGAGGUAUGCAAGCAGAUCUGGGGAGAUGGAGGGAGAGGCCAGGCAAAGCAAUUCCAGUUCCCUUCUUUGCCACAGAUUACACAGGUUAUCAUCUGUCCAACUCGGAGUCCUCUUUGUCCACACAGAAGGGUCAGGGUAACACACAGCUCCUGGUGCUGCGGCUUCAAACCCUCCCCAGUCUCUUUACCAUCCUGCUUGUUUCUGGUCCAACUGCUGCUAGUCCUAUGUUCCAGAGAAAAGUCAUGGCAUUUACUGGCCUCCGUCACUUUAAUGAAAAAGCCCCUACACCAAACAAAUACAAGCACAGACAUUUGCAACUAAUUAUGGUAUUGCUGAUCAGUCAAAUUUCAUUGCAAAUUGCAUGUUGAAAUUGAUAGUGGGCGAGUCAUGAAUAAACUGGUUGUCUGGAAAAGUGACACGGGCACACAGGACUAGGUUAAUAAUUCAAUUUGGGCUCAGCCAGACACUCUGAAGAAGAGGAAGAAGCAGAUUAGCGGUGCCCCAAGACUGCUUGUUUUCCCGGGUACCUCUUGCCAGUGCGCCUUCUAAGGGAAGCUGAGCCUCCUUUAGGAUCCUCCCACUUUGGGAGACCGCAGGGCACUGAGUAUUCCAGCCUUUAAUUCUUGGUUUGCAAAAUUGCAGCCUUGAGUGAUGUGGGGAGGGGAAGACGGCCUUACAUCCCAUCCCCUUUGCUGCUAAGAAGCCCACUGAGGAGGCUUCCUGGAGACUGCCGCCUCCUGCUGCAGUGAAGACUGCUCGUGGCCUCCCAUCUGUGGGUACUGGGCUGGGAAAGCCCACAGGGGUUCCCCAGGUCAGGUCUGGCUCCAGAGAAGGUGGAAAAGGAGCCAGAGGGGCCUUAGAGAGCUCCCCACUUGCCCUGGUCCCCGUGGCGGCCCACAGAACUAUGAAGCCCAAAAGUAAGACAAUGCAUCGAGGCCACAAGAUAGACGGGCAGUGUCCUCAGAAUUGGGCCUUCCUGGAGGGUCGCUGUGCCCCUGCACCUGGGGAGGAAGGCAGGAUGGAGACACAGAGCAGGCAGAGUGCACAGAUGUCAGGGGCAAGUAAGAUGCAGUCACAGUGGCCACGUUGAUCCACCCUGGAGUACUUCCCCGUGAGCUGCUCGGCCACUCUAACUGCCCUGGCUCUAAAGGCCUGUGCGGAGGCAAAGUCUUAAUUUUUGCCCUCUAGAUUGGAGUUUAAAACUCAAAUGUCUACAUGGAUGUGGGUGCGCUCUAGACUGGGCAGGCCUGGUAAGCUUGGGCCUGCCUCGGGGGGAGCAGCCAUGCUUUGGCUUCAGGAGACUGUCUAGAGACAAUAUGAGCUGGAAUCCAGAAAAAGAUUUAGGCCAGGGAUAUAAAUUUGGAAGUUGUCAACAACUGAAUUAUAUUUAAAGCCACUCUGGGGGAGAUUAACAACAGAGUGAGUGGAGAUGCGAGGUCCAGGGACUGAACCUUAGAGAGGAACAAGUGCCAGCAAGAGGGCCCGUGAAGGAGCAAUCAGCCAGGCAGGAGGGAAACCAGGAGAGGGAGGCGAGGGCGCCGAGCAGGGAGAGAUGAACGCCUACACUCUAGAAAAGAGGCAAGGGAAGCUAGCCUUGAGAUUUAACAUGGAGACUCCUUGACAGGGGUAUCUUGCCGUCGUGCUGGAGGCUGAGGGGAGUGCACGGGAGAAAGGAAGGAAGGAGAGGACGUGAAGGCAGCAGAACCUUCAGAAGUUUUCCCAUAAAUAAGAGCAGAGAAAUCGGAGGACAGUUUGAGGGGUAUACAAGGCCAAGAGGAGGUUUUUCUUUAAGAGAGAAAAAUUGCAGUAUUUUUGGGUGUGGAUGGGAAUAAACCUGGAGAGAGGGGAAUUUUGAUGAUGCAGGUGAGAAGGGGGAUAAAAGUUGGAGUGAAGUCUUUGAGUAAACAGG
This 5376-nucleotide long non-coding RNA is filed under the name Sus scrofa (pig). RNAcentral describes it as "lncRNA (ENSSSCG00025048420.1)". Lineage: Eukaryota; Metazoa; Chordata; Mammalia; Artiodactyla; Suidae. The record is from RNAcentral.